Diceros bicornis minor is the source of this 402-nucleotide long non-coding RNA. RefSeq lists it as uncharacterized. The transcript has 3 exons. NCBI's taxonomy places the organism in Eukaryota, Metazoa, Chordata, Mammalia, Perissodactyla, Rhinocerotidae. The record is from RefSeq and is a predicted model, not a curated record.
ACUAUCUAGACUCACGUACAAUAGGUGUCUCAGGUAACCCUUAAACAACCCUGAGGUGGCUAUUGAAUUGUCCCAGCACCAUUUGUUGAAGACUGUCAUUUUUCUGUUGAAUUGCCUUGAUACCUUUGUUGAACAUCAAUUAACCAUAAAUAAGUCAAGAUGGUGGCAUAAGUAGACUCUGAACUCACCUCCUCCCAUGGACACAGCCAAUUUACAACUACUCGUGGAAUAAUUACCCCUGAGAGAAAACUGAAAACUGGAUAAGAGGAACUCCUGCAACAAAAGACAAUACUAACUGAGGUGGAAGAGGCAGAAAUUCCCUUCUGGAGAGAAAAAAUACCACCUUCACAAGCCGCCAGCAUGACGGCCGCCCGGGAGCAGCCCAAAGGUAUACAGCCCUCC